RNAcentral lists this ribosomal RNA (1299 nucleotides) under Rathayibacter festucae. RNAcentral's name for it is "bacterial SSU rRNA". It matches the Rfam family "Bacterial small subunit ribosomal RNA", at positions 120 to 1429 of the family's 1533-position model. The record is from RNAcentral. Lineage: Bacteria; Bacillati; Actinomycetota; Actinomycetes; Micrococcales; Microbacteriaceae.
AGUAACCUGCCCUUGACUCUGGGAUAAGCGCUGGAAACGGCGUCUAAUACCGGAUACGACCUGCCCCGGCAUCGGGUGCGGGUGGAAAGUUUUUCGGUCAAGGAUGGACUCGCGGCCUAUCAGGUAGUUGGUGAGGUAAUGGCUCACCAAGCCGACGACGGGUAGCCGGCCUGAGAGGGUGACCGGCCACACUGGGACUGAGACACGGCCCAGACUCCUACGGGAGGCAGCAGUGGGGAAUAUUGCACAAUGGGCGAAAGCCUGAUGCAGCAACGCCGCGUGGGGGAUGACGGCCUUCGGGUUGUAAACCUCUUUUAGUAGGGAAGAAGGGCUUCGGCUUGACGGUACCUGCAGAAAAAGCACCGGCUAACUACGUGCCAGCAGCCGCGGUAAUACGUAGGGUGCAAGCGUUGUCCGGAAUUAUUGGGCGUAAAGAGCUCGUAGGCGGUUUGUCGCGUCUGCUGUGAAAACCCGAGGCUCAACCUCGGGCCUGCAGUGGGUACGGGCAGACUAGAGUGCGGUAGGGGAGAAUGGAAUUCCUGGUGUAGCGGUGGAAUGCGCAGAUAUCAGGAGGAACACCGAUGGCGAAGGCAGUUCUCUGGGCCGUUACUGACGCUGAGGAGCGAAAGCGUGGGGAGCGAACAGGAUUAGAUACCCUGGUAGUCCACGCCGUAAACGUUGGGAACUAGAUGUGGGGACCUUUCCACGGUCUCCGUGUCGCAGCUAACGCAUUAAGUUCCCCGCCUGGGGAGUACGGCCGCAAGGCUAAAACUCAAAGGAAUUGACGGGGGCCCGCACAAGCGGCGGAGCAUGCGGAUUAAUUCGAUGCAACGCGAAGAACCUUACCAAGGCUUGACAUAUACCGGAAACUUCCAGAAAUGGUUGCCCCGCAAGGUCGGUAUACAGGUGGUGCAUGGUUGUCGUCAGCUCGUGUCGUGAGAUGUUGGGUUAAGUCCCGCAACGAGCGCAACCCUCGUUCUAUGUUGCCAGCACGUCAUGGUGGGAACUCAUAGGAGACUGCCGGGGUCAACUCGGAGGAAGGUGGGGAUGACGUCAAAUCAUCAUGCCCCUUAUGUCUUGGGCUUCACGCAUGCUACAAUGGCCGGUACAAAGGGCUGCGAUACCGUAAGGUGGAGCGAAUCCCAAAAAGCCGGUCUCAGUUCGGAUUGAGGUCUGCAACUCGACCUCAUGAAGUCGGAGUCGCUAGUAAUCGCAGAUCAGCAACGCUGCGGUGAAUACGUUCCCGGGCCUUGUACACACCGCCCGUCAAGUCAUGAAAGUCGGUAACACCCGAAGCCA